Molecule: ribosomal RNA, 433 nt
Filed under: uncultured bacterium
Lineage: Bacteria
Description: partial 16S ribosomal RNA
Rfam family: Bacterial small subunit ribosomal RNA
Source: RNAcentral
AACGAACGCUGGCGGCAGGCCUAACACAUGCAAGUCGAGCGAGGACUUCGGUUCUAGCGGCGGACGGGUGAGUAACGCGUGGGAAUGUGCCCUUCUCUACGGAAUAGCCCUGGGAAACUGGGAGUAAUACCGUAUACGCCCUAUUGGGGAAAGAUUUAUCGGGGAAGGAUCAGCCCGCGUUGGAUUAGGUAGUUGGUGGGGUAAUGGCCUACCAAGCCGACGUUCCAUAGCUGGUUUGAGAGGAUGAUCAGCCACGCUGGGACUGAGACACGGCCCAGACUCCUACGGGAGGCAGCAGUGGGGAAUCUUAGACAAUGGGGGCAACCCUGAUCUAGCCAUGCCGCGUGAGUGAUGAAGGCCUUAGGGUUGUAAAGCUCUUUCAGCUGGGAAGAUAAUGACGGUACCAGCAGAAGAAGCCCCGGCUAACUCCGUG